CUACGGGUUGCUGCAGUGGGGAAUAUUGCACAAUGGGCGCAAGCCUGAUGCAGCCAUGCCGCGUGUAUGAAGAAGGCCUUCGGGUUGUAAAGUACUUUCAGCGGGGAGGAAGGGAGUAAAGUUAAUACCUUUGCUCAUUGACGUUACCCGCAGAAGAAGCACCGGCUAACUCCGUGCCAGCAGCCGCGGUAAUACGGAGGGUGCAAGCGUUAAUCGGAAUUACUGUGGCGUAAAGCGCACGCAGGCGGUUUGUUAAGUCAGAUGUGAAAUCCCCGGGCUCAACCUGGGAACUGCAUCUGAUACUGGCAAGCUUGAGUCUCGUAGAGGGGGGUAGAAUUCCAGGUGUAGCGGUGAAAUGCGUAGAGAUCUGGAGGAAUACCGGUGGCGAAGGCGGCCCCCUGGACGAAGACUGACGCUCAGGUGCGAAAGCGUGGGGAGCAAACAGGAUUAGAUACCCCCGUAGUC
RNAcentral lists this ribosomal RNA (465 nucleotides) under uncultured bacterium. RNAcentral describes it as "partial 16S ribosomal RNA". It matches the Rfam family "Bacterial small subunit ribosomal RNA", at positions 339 to 795 of the family's 1533-position model. The record is from RNAcentral.